This 492-nucleotide ribosomal RNA is filed under the name uncultured bacterium. RNAcentral describes it as "partial 16S ribosomal RNA". It matches the Rfam family "Bacterial small subunit ribosomal RNA", at positions 29 to 507 of the family's 1533-position model. The record is from RNAcentral.
AGUGAACGCUGGCGGUAGGCCUAACACAUGCAAGUCGAACGGCAGCACAGUAAGAGCUUGCUCUUACGGGUGGCGAGUGGCGGACGGGUGAGGAAUACAUCGGAAUCUACUUUUUCGUGGGGGAUAACGCAGGGAAACUUACGCUAAUACCGCAUACGACCUACGGGUGAAAGCAGGGGAUCUUCGGACCUUGCGCGAUUGAAUGAGCCGAUGUCGGAUUAGCUAGUUGGCGGGGUAAAGGCCCACCAAGGCGACGAUCCGUAGCUGGUCUGAGAGGAUGAUCAGCCACACUGGAACUGAGACACGGUCCAGACUCCUACGGGAGGCAGCAGUGGGGAAUAUUGAACAAUGGGCGCAAGCCUGAUCCAGCCAUACCGCGUGGGUGAAGAAGGCCUUCGGGUUGUAAAGCCCUUUUGUUGGGAAAGAAAAGCAGCAGGUUAAUACCCCGCUGUUCUGACGGUACCCAAAGAAUAAGCACCGGCUAACUUCGUG